AUAAGAACAAUAAUACUCCAUACUAAUUCUAACUUAAGGAACAUCCUUUUCUCUGAAAUUGGCAUUGGGAUCUCAGGCAACAGCUUCCUUCUUCUUUCACAUACUCAAGUUCAUUCGUGGGCACAGGUCCAGACUCUCUGACCUGCCCAUUGGUCUCUUGUCCCUAAUCUACCUACUGAUGCUACUAGUCAUGGCAUUCAUAGCCACAGACAUUUUUAUUUCUUGGAGGGGUUGGGAUGACAUCAUAUGUAAAUUCCUUGUGUACAUGUACAGAGUUUUGAGAGGCCUCUCCCUUUGUACCACCAGCAUGUUGAGUGUCCUCCAGGCCAUCAUCCUCAGUCCCAGAAGCUCCUGUUUAGCAAAGUUCAAGCAUAAAUCUCUCCAUCAUAUCUCAUGUGCCAUUCUUUUCCUGAGUGUCCUCAGUUGCUAUCAGUCACCACUUAGCAUCCAUCAUUGCCACCCCCAAUUUGACCACGAAUGACUUUGUUUAUAUUACUCAGUCCUGCUCUAUUCUACCCUUGAGUUACCUCAUGCGAAGUAUAUUUACUACACUGCUGGCCAUCAGAAACAUCUUUCUUAUUAGUCUCAUGGUCCUCUCAACUUGGUACAUGGUGGCCUCUUGUGCAGGCACAGGAAACAGACCCAGCAUCUUCAAGGAACCAGCCUGUCCCCAAAAACAUCCCCAGAACAAAGGGCUACCCAGAACAUCCUGAUGCUCAUGAGCUUCUUUGUGCUGAUGUCCAUCUUUGACACUGUUGUCUCCUGCUCAAGAACUAUGUUCCUGAAUGAUCCCACAUCUUACUAUAUGCAAAUCUUUGUAAUGCAUAGCUAUGUGACAGUCAGCCCUUUUGUGUUUUUGAGCACUGAGAAACAUAUAGUUAACUUCUUGAGGUCCACGGGUGAAAGGGUGAUAAAUGUUUGA
This 922-nucleotide long non-coding RNA is filed under the name Mus musculus (house mouse). RNAcentral's name for it is "long non-coding RNA chr6:90242321-90243243". The record is from RNAcentral. Lineage: Eukaryota; Metazoa; Chordata; Mammalia; Rodentia; Muridae.